CAUAAUCUCUGAGGAGAAAAGCAGGGGAUCGCAAGACCUUGCGCUUUGGAGCGGCCGAUGUCUGAUUAGCUAGUUGGUGAGGUAGAGGCUUACCAAGGCUUCGAUCAGUAGCUGGUCUGAGAGGACGACCAGCCACACUGGGACUGUGACACGGCCCAGACUCCUACGGGAGGCAGCAGUGGGGAAUUUUGGACAAUGGGGGCAACCCUGAUCCAGCCAUGCCGCGUGAGUGAAGAAGGCCUUCGGGUUGUAAAGCUCUUUCAGCCGGAACGAAACGGUCACGGUUAAUAACUGUGAUCACUGACGGUACCGGAAGAAGAAG
Molecule: ribosomal RNA, 322 nt
Filed under: uncultured beta proteobacterium
Lineage: Bacteria; Pseudomonadati; Pseudomonadota; Betaproteobacteria
Description: bacterial SSU rRNA
Rfam family: Bacterial small subunit ribosomal RNA
Source: RNAcentral